This 796-nucleotide long non-coding RNA is filed under the name Drosophila melanogaster (fruit fly). RNAcentral describes it as "long non-coding RNA:CR46337 (Dmel_CR46337)". Lineage: Eukaryota; Metazoa; Arthropoda; Insecta; Diptera; Drosophilidae. The record is from RNAcentral.
GCUCCCAAGGUGCUCUACUUCCAUCCACGCGGAGGUUUCUCAGGUCCCGCGAGUUAUUUUAAAUGCGGUUUUCAAGUGCUUGUCUGCUUAAGAGCGUACACUGACGGAAAAUGAGCAUAUAGAAGUGGUCGAAUAUUAACCAUAACUAAAAAAACUAAGUAAUAGAAAAUAGAGGUCAUCAUACCCUUUCAUCAGUACAAGAACCUUGCAACCUUAUGCCCAUUGAACUCUUAACUCAUCUUUGAAGUACUAUUUAUGUUUUUCAUAUGUAUUCAAGUGUAUUAUGUGCUCGUUAGCUUUCAAGAUCCUAUUGUUCUCUGUGUAGCACCGCGUGUGUCAUAAUGGUUUGCAUAUUUGUUUGUUAACUGCUGCUGUUUUCUGGUUUUUCACUCGCUUUUCUUUUCCACUCAGCUGGCAUUUUCGCAUUGCUCAGCUGGGCGUUUGUGGUCAUUGCUAAUUAAAGAUUAUGCGCUGCGCGUGUCCCCGAUGCAUUCCCGGGAUCAAAUGGGAUUCCCCGGAUGGCUGAUGGCUAAAGUUGAUGGCCAAGCUUACCUGGUUGGGUGGUAAUACGCGCAGCAGAACUUCACUGGAUAGUUGAAUACUUCGAUACUUGUAUAGCUGGAUACUUGGAUACCUAGGUACUUGGAUAGCUGGAUACUGGAUACCCGUAUAAAUCGAGUGGCUCUGUAAAUGGCUGUGGAUUGGCGAUUGCCUCGGACUUUGCUUUUGUUUUAUUCCGCAGAAGUGUAAAUUGCGGCUCAAUGUGCGAAAUUAUCAUUACCAUAUCGGGUUGUCA